CAGUAGCCGCGGUAAUACGUAGGGUGCAAGCGUUAAUCGGAAUUACUGGGCGUAAAGCGUGCGCAGGCGGUUUUGUAAGACAGAGGUGAAAUCCCCGGGCUCAACCUGGGAACUGCCUUUGUGACUGCAAGGCUAGAGUACGGCAGAGGGGGAUGGAAUUCCGCGUGUAGCAGUGAAAUGCGUAGAUAUGCGGAGGAACACCGAUGGCGAAGGCAAUCCCCUGGGCCUGUACUGACGCUCAUGCACGAAAGCGUGGGGAGCAAACAGGAUUAGAUACCCCGGUAGUCCCUGUCUCUUAUAC
This 301-nucleotide ribosomal RNA is filed under the name uncultured bacterium. Its description in RNAcentral is "partial 16S ribosomal RNA". It matches the Rfam family "Bacterial small subunit ribosomal RNA", at positions 509 to 807 of the family's 1533-position model. The record is from RNAcentral.